GAUGAAGAACGCAGCGAAAUGCGAUACGUAAUGUGAAUUGCAGAAUUCAGUGAAUCAUCGAAUCUUUGAACGCAUAUUGCGCUCUCUGGUAUUCCGGAGAGCAUGCUUGUUUGAGUAUCAGUAAACACCUCAACUCCCUUUUCUUUUUUGAAAUUGGAGCUGGACUUGAGUGAUCCCAACGCUUUCUUCCAAGAAAGUGGCGGGUUGCUUGAAAUGCAGGUGCAGCUGAACUUUUCUCUGAGCUAUAAGCAUAUCUAUUUAGUCUGCCUAAAAAACAGAUUAUUACCUUUGCUGCAGCUAACAUAAAGGAGACUAGUUCUUGUGCUGACUGAUGCAGGAUUCACAGAGACAGCUUCGGCUGACUUUGUAAACUCGAUCUCAAAUCAAGUAAGACUACCCGCUGAACUUAAGCAUACCAAUAAGCGGAGGA
Molecule: unclassified non-coding RNA, 430 nt
Filed under: soil metagenome
Description: partial contains 5.8S ribosomal RNA, internal transcribed spacer 2, and large subunit ribosomal RNA
Rfam family: 5.8S ribosomal RNA (bases 1-120)
Source: RNAcentral